AUUGAACGCUGGCGGCAGGCUUAACACAUGCAAGUCGAGCGAGCGGCGGACGGGUGAGUAAUGUCUGGGAAACUGCCUGAUGGAGGGGGAUAACUACUGGAAACGGUAGCUAAUACCGCAUACCAUCAGAUGUGCCCAGAUGGGAUUAGCUAGUAGGUGGGGUAUUGGCUCACCUAGGCGACGAUCCCUAGCUGGUCUGAGAGGAUGACGAGCCACACUGGAACUGAGACACGGUCCAGACUCCUACGGGAGGCAGCAGGGGGGAAUAUUGGACAAUGGGCGCAAGACUGAUGCAGCCAUGCCGCGUGUGUGAAGAAGGCCUUCGGGGUGUAAAGCACUUUCAGCGAGGAGGCGUUACUCGCAGAAGAAGCACCGGCUAACUCCGUGCCAGCAGCCGCGGUAAUUC
RNAcentral lists this ribosomal RNA (406 nucleotides) under uncultured bacterium. Its description in RNAcentral is "partial 16S ribosomal RNA". It matches the Rfam family "Bacterial small subunit ribosomal RNA", at positions 30 to 526 of the family's 1533-position model. The record is from RNAcentral.